UACAGAGGGGGCAAGCGUUGUUCGGAAUUACUGGGCGUAAAGGGCUCGUAGGCGGCCAACUAAGUCGGAUGUGAAAUCCCCAGGCUUAACCUGGGAACUGCAUCCGAUACUGGAUGGCUUGAAUCCGGGAGAGGGAUGCAGAAUUCCAGGUGUAGCGGUGAAAUGCGUAGAUAUCUGGAGGAAUACCGGUGGCGAAGGCGGCAUCCUGGACCGGCAUUGACGCUGAUGAGCGAAAGCUAGGGGAGCAAACGGG
RNAcentral lists this ribosomal RNA (253 nucleotides) under uncultured bacterium. RNAcentral describes it as "partial 16S ribosomal RNA". It matches the Rfam family "Bacterial small subunit ribosomal RNA", at positions 524 to 776 of the family's 1533-position model. The record is from RNAcentral.